This 601-nucleotide ribosomal RNA is filed under the name uncultured eukaryote. RNAcentral's name for it is "bacterial SSU rRNA". It matches the Rfam family "Eukaryotic small subunit ribosomal RNA", at positions 4 to 567 of the family's 1831-position model. The record is from RNAcentral.
CUGGUUGAUCCUGCCAGUUGUCAUAUWGCUUGUUUCAAGGACUAAGCCAUGCAAAUGUCAGUGGACCCGAGAUUUCUCGGGGGGACUGUGUACGGCUCAUUAAACGGUUAAUAGUCUACCCAACAGAGAAGGCAUUCGAGCCUUCCGACGGGAUAACUGCCCUAACCGGGCAGCUAAUACCUGGAAGAACAAUCUCUGACCACCAAACCAUGGAGUGGGUAACCACGAAGUGGGGUCAGGGAUGCUAUUGGCCGGAACAAAGACUAACGCCUUUACGGGCAGAUGUAAUUGUUGACGCAGGCCAAUGUAGCGGAAGCUCCUAUGGAGCGGUGUUGGACGAAUUCACCACCUAUCAGGUAGAAGGUAGUGUAGUGGACUACCUUGCCUCUGACGGGUAACGGAGGAUUGGGGUUCGAUUCCGGAGAGGGUGCCUGAGAAACGGCAACCAUGACUACGGUCAGCAGCAGGCGCGCAAAUUGCCCAAUGCAAACACAUUGCGAGGCAGCGACGAAAACUAGUAUUUCUGUUACCUAAGGUUUCAGGAUGCAAUGGAUUGUAUCUAAUACACACUGCUGAGUAUCUAUUGGAGGGCAAGUCUGGU